Molecule: long non-coding RNA, 264 nt
Organism: Cygnus olor (mute swan)
Lineage: Eukaryota; Metazoa; Chordata; Aves; Anseriformes; Anatidae
Exons: 2
Source: RefSeq, a predicted model, not a curated record
AGAUGAAGGGAAUGACUGUCUGAGCAGCAGAUGCUGCUUAUGAAGCUCAACGUUCCCUGCAGCAAGAUAUGGAGAUGUUUAGGAGGAAGGGGAAGAGCUCUCAGCCUGCAGCCUGGCAAGCAGGAGACCCAUGCGUUCCUCCUCCUUGGUAAUCCCAUGAUAGAAAGGGGACACAGCCACUGCAUUUUAUUGCCAGCCUGCUUUUCCAGAGCAUGACAGCUUCCUAUAAGAGCACUACUGAAUGCAUGCACUAACAUGAAAACA